RNAcentral lists this ribosomal RNA (919 nucleotides) under uncultured Mycoplasma sp. RNAcentral's name for it is "bacterial SSU rRNA". It matches the Rfam family "Bacterial small subunit ribosomal RNA", at positions 82 to 996 of the family's 1533-position model. Lineage: Bacteria; Bacillati; Mycoplasmatota; Mollicutes; Mycoplasmatales; Mycoplasmataceae. The record is from RNAcentral.
UCUUCGGAACUUAGCGGCGAUGGGUGAGUAACACGUACUUAACAUGCCCUCUAGAUUGGAAUAACGAUUAGAAAUGAUCGCUAAUGCCGGAUACUUAUAUCUUUCGCAUGAAGGAUAUAUAAAAGGAGCGUUUGCUUCGCUAGAGGAUUGGGGUGCGUAACAUUAGCUAGUUGGUAGGGUAAUGGCCUACCAAGGCUAUGAUGUUUAGCGGGGUUGAGAGACUGAUCCGCCACACUGGGACUGAGAUACGGCCCAGACUCCUACGGGAGGCAGCAGUAGGGAAUUUUCCACAAUGGACGAAAGUCUGAUGGAGCGACACAGCGUGCAGGAUGACGGCCUUCGGGUUGUAAACUGCUGUUAUAAGGGAAGAAAAAAUAAAGUAGGAAAUGACUUUAUCUUGACGGUACCUUGUCAGAAAGCAACGGCUAACUAUGUGCCAGCAGCCGCGGUAAUACAUAGGUUGCAAGCGUUAUCCGGAAUUAUUGGGCGUAAAGCGUCUGUAGGUUGUUUGUUAAGUCUGACGUGAAAACUUGGGGCUCAACCCCAAAUUGCGUUGGAUACUGGCAAACUAGAGUUAUGAAGAGGUUAGCGGAAUUCCUUGUGAAGCGGUGAAAUGCGUAGAUAUAAGGAAGAACACCAACUUGGCGAAGGCAGCUAACUGGGCAUACACUGACACUGAGAGACGAAAGCGUGGGGAGCAAACAGGAUUAGAUACCCUGGUAGUCCACGCUGUAAACGAUGAUGAUUAGCUGAUGGGGAACUCAUCGGCACAGCUAACGCAUUAAAUCAUCCGCCUGAGUAGUAUGCUCGCAAGAGUGAAACUUAAAGGAAUUGACGGGGAUCCGCACAAGCGGUGGAGCAUGUGGUUUUAUUUUGAAGAUACGCGUAGAACCUUACCCACUCUUGACAUCUUCCGCAA